ACUGACGUCUUGUUCACCUUACCACACUGAUCUGACUGAUGCUACUUUUAUAAAGAUUCGUCUGUCUGUCAGGUGAUUUACAGGGCAGCAUGUGGAGAAGCUGGUUUUGAGUUGUAAAGUUUUGGUAAAUUUGGAGAGAAUUGAUAAGAUUGGCCUGUUGUUUAUAUAUGUUGGUUUUAUUAUCUAAUAAUAAAUCAUAGAAAGGUCCUUUUCUGUGGUCAAAAAUUUGGCAUAUUUGCUUGGCUUUUGUGAAGAAGAAGCAGAUAAAAAGGAAGAGUGGGCGAUCACAUUUGGCCAAACAGUCAGGAGUUAUUAAAAUACGAUCUUAUACAUUUCUAAGACAAAUGAUAACUUUCAUGAAUUGUAUAUUUCAGUUUACUUGAGUAGAUGUAAGUGAUGGACAGCACCACUGGACCAAAGAGCUCUUUUGCUUAGGGAGACACUAAUGCAGAAAUGAUUAUAUGUUCAGCACUUUAAAAGUUGACAGCAAGUAUUUCCUGCCUUAAGCCAGUUCUUCAGUCUUAGUGUUUAUGGUUGAUCUGUUGUUUCAUGUCACUCUGGUGAGGGCUGUAACUCAGUGGUGGGUAAGGGUAACCCAUGGCACAUGUUCACAGCCUGGCCCAGGCCUUUGUUCCUGAGCUCAGUUGCCAUAAAAUAAUCUGUGAAGUUUGUCGGUCUUCUAGAAUCGCUAGUAUAAGCAUCUGUUCACUGAUAUUGUUGUUGAUGUUGGCUUUGUACUAUGUGGCAAGUCAUGUAGUUGACAGCAUUGGUGUUCCUUACCACAUGUGUAACUUAAUGUGUGGAGCUGGACUAUGAGGCUUUUGCUGAAGACAAUCCACGGCCAAGCUGUUAGUUUAUAAAUGCUAGAGUUGUAUCCUCUAACGUGAGCUACUCAGCAUCAUUGAGCUCCUUCUCUGUACCUGCCUCCCAUAUCACUUGCUGCCCGUAUAUUCCUUGUAGAUAAAAUGAAGGCCUCUUCCUUACCCACCUUAAUGGGGCUGCUGUGUCCACAAAAAGGACAGUAUCACUUCUGCAACAGUGUUUGUAGGAUACCUGAGAAGAGAUUGCCAUUAUGUCUGGCUGAGGCUGGACAGGGCAGAGGAAGCUAUACACAGGAAUUAUUGUAGAGCAUUGUUUCUCUUAACAGCUGAGAAGUUUGUCACAGCUGAGAAGUCUCUGCUGUUCUCUCCUUUGUUCUUUGUCUUUUUGAUCAAAAAGCAAACAUACCUGAGUAUUUAGUAAACAUACAAACUAGAUUCCUCUAUAUUUUGUUAUUUUGGAAAUUUGGCACUUCAGGCUAUCUGAUCAAUGUAAAACGGGUGUGACUUCAUUUCAGUACUUGGUAAAAUAUACAAAGUAGUAAUCACUGGCUAUAUUUGUGUUUGAGAAGAUACCAGUGAGCACUAAGGGCCAAGGUUUCUUGAUUUUGCUUCUGAAAUAUGAGCAAUACUUGUUGGGACUGGAGGCACGUAUCUGUUCUGUAUUUCAGUAGGAAUGGGUUUAUUUACCAUGUUUGUCAUUACACUUCAGAAUGAAUGUUCAUGCUUAGUAGUGAAUGUUUGCAAAGGCCUUGACAAUCAAAGGCGUUUUUGAACGAUGAAUGUACUUAUUUUUGGACAAAAUGAGUGACUCCUUGCUACAGAAAAACUAGAGAUAAAAAGGGAUGGUAGCUAGCUAAUCCUAUGAACUUUCUGGGGAAAACGGAGACGUGGCACAAGCAUGGGGUACUGUACUGACUCUAGUGUUAUCUCACCUGCUCAUGUUCCUCUUGGUUUAAUGCCUGAGUCUUGCACAUGAGCACACAAGCAAAGCAAAAACCAAUGAAGUGGGAGUUUAGAACAAGGCCAAGAUUUUGUCCUGCCUGACCGGUGCCCUGGAGAAAGCAGGUAUUCACCAGCUAGCCAGGCAAGCACCACGGUACAAAUGUUUACAGCGAGGAACAAGCGUCUGUCUAUUCAGAAAGGGCAAAAGCGACCAACACCCGCAGGUCUCAGCUGUCACUAUAAAGCCGAAUACCUAUGUGGGGGAGUCUGGUGGAGGCUGCGCGCAAGAAAACAAGGAGUUGCUGAGAAGUCAAGCAGCUUGUCAAGGCAUCCUCGUAGUUUUCUGACCUGCUCAACCCUACACAGAGAGGCCAAAUUCAGCUUUGGCUCA
Struthio camelus australis is the source of this 2154-nucleotide long non-coding RNA. RefSeq lists it as uncharacterized. The record is from RefSeq and is a predicted model, not a curated record. NCBI's taxonomy places the organism in Eukaryota, Metazoa, Chordata, Aves, Struthioniformes, Struthionidae.